AUUGAACGCUGGCGGCAGGCCUAACACAUGCAAGUCGAACGAGUGGCGGACGGGUGAGUAAUGUCUGGGAAACUGCCUGAUGGAGGGGGAUAACUACUGGAAACGGUAGCUAAUACCGCAUACCAUCAGAUGUGCCCAGAUGGUAUUCUCGAUUUGGUGGGGUAACGGCUCACCAAGGCGACGAUCCCUAGCUGGUCUGAGAGGAUGACCAGCCACACUGGAACUGAGACACGGUCCAGACUCCUACGGGAGGCAGCAGUGGGGAAUAUUGCACAAUGGGCGCAAGCCUGAUGCAGCCAUGCCGCGUGUAUGAAGAAGGCCUUCGGGUUGUAAAGUACUUUCAGCGGGGAGGCGGGAGCAGAAGAAGAAGCACCGGCUAACUCCGUGCCAGCAGCCGCGGUAAUUG
RNAcentral lists this ribosomal RNA (406 nucleotides) under uncultured bacterium. RNAcentral's name for it is "partial 16S ribosomal RNA". It matches the Rfam family "Bacterial small subunit ribosomal RNA", at positions 30 to 527 of the family's 1533-position model. The record is from RNAcentral.